RNAcentral lists this ribosomal RNA (461 nucleotides) under uncultured bacterium. RNAcentral describes it as "partial 16S ribosomal RNA". It matches the Rfam family "Bacterial small subunit ribosomal RNA", at positions 338 to 795 of the family's 1533-position model. The record is from RNAcentral.
CCUACGGGUGGCAGCAGUGAGGAAUAUUGGUCAAUGGGCGAGAGCCUGACCCAGCCAAGUCGCGUGAAGGAUGACGGCCCUACGGGUUGUAAACUUCUUUUGUCAGGGAGCAAUUGGGCCCACGCGUGGGCCUAGCGAGAGUACCUGAAGAAAAAGCAUCGGCUAACUCCGUGCCAGCAGCCGCGGUAAUACGGAGGAUGCGAGCGUUAUCCGGAUUUACUGGGUGGAAAGGGAGCGUAGACGGCAGCACAGGUAUGGAGUGAAAUCCCGGGGCUGAACCCCGGAACUGCUUUGGAAACUGUGAGGCUGGAGUGCAGGAGGGGUAAGCGGAAUUACUAGUGUAGCGGUGAAAUGCGUAGAUAUUAGGAGGAACACCGGUGGCGAAGGCGGCUUACUGGACUGUAACUGACGUUGAGGCUCGAAAGCGUGGGGAGCAAACAGGAUUAGAUACCCGGGUAGUC